Molecule: ribosomal RNA, 492 nt
Filed under: uncultured bacterium
Lineage: Bacteria
Description: SSU rRNA
Rfam family: Bacterial small subunit ribosomal RNA
Source: RNAcentral
AGGAUAAACGCUGGCGGCGUGCCUAACACAUGCAAGUCGAACGCUCUUUUUCCUCGCAAGAGGGGGGAGGGAGUGGCGGACGGGUGAGGAACACAUGGGUGACCUACCUUUCAGUGAGGAAUACCGGCGAGAAAUCGCCGACAAGACCGCAUGAGCUUCUCUCGGUAAGCGAGGGAAGGAAAGCUCUUUUCGUGAGAACGGAGGGGGCGCUGGAAGAUGGGCCUGUGGCCGAUUAGCUAGUUGGUGAGGUAAUGGCUCACCAAGGCGACGAUCGGUAGCUGGUCUGAGAGGACGAUCAGCCACACUGGGAUUGAGAACGGCCCAGACUCCUACGGGGGGCAGCAGUGAGGAAUUUUCCGCAAUGGGCGCAAGCCUGACGGAGCAACGCCGUGUGCAGGAAGAAGGUUUUCGGAUCGUAAACUGCUUUUCGUCGGGGACGAGAACGGACGGUACCCGAGGAAUCAGCCCGGCUAACUACGUGCCAGCAGCCGC